CGCUUGGCUUGUUGUGUUUCCUCGUGAUCAGAAGCAGUUUAUUCCGAAUGGCAACAACAAUCCUCAGCUCUCUGCUAUGUAAAAUUUGGGCAGCUGAGAAAAAGAUUAACUGAA
Non-coding RNA from Ceratotherium simum simum (southern white rhinoceros), 114 nucleotides. Lineage: Eukaryota; Metazoa; Chordata; Mammalia; Perissodactyla; Rhinocerotidae. The record is from RefSeq and is a predicted model, not a curated record.